RNAcentral lists this ribosomal RNA (420 nucleotides) under Triticum aestivum (bread wheat). RNAcentral describes it as "partial small subunit ribosomal RNA". The record is from RNAcentral. Lineage: Eukaryota; Viridiplantae; Streptophyta; Magnoliopsida; Poales; Poaceae.
AUGGCGGCCGCAUCCAUGCUCACCACCGUCUUCUCCCCUCUCGCCCUCCUCCGCCCGUCGGCCUCCUUCGCGCGCCUGCGCCGCGCGGCUCCCGCCGCCGCCGUCGCCGUGCGCGCCGCGGCCAAGUCUACCACGGCCGCGGCGGCCCCCAAGAAGAAGAGGGCGGCGCCGACCGGCAUCACCAUGCCCCGGCCCGUGUCCCCGGCGCUGCAGGCGUUCAUGGGCGCCGCCGAGGUCCCCCGCACCGAGGCCAUGAAGCGCAUCUGGGCCUACAUCAAGCAGAACAACCUCCAGGACCCUGAGGACAAGAAGGUCAUCGUUUGCGAUGAGAAGCUGAAAGCCCUGUUUGCAGGCAGAGACCGUGUUGGGUUCCUGGAGAUUGCCAAGCUUCUGACCCCGCACUUUGUCAAGACUCCGUGA